AAGUAGUGUGACAUUCCGUUUAUGUUGAAAUACUCUGAUGUUUAUGUAAAAAUUUUAUGUUUGGAAAACGGGGUGUUACACUAAU
Molecule: microRNA precursor, 85 nt
Filed under: Medicago truncatula (barrel medic)
Lineage: Eukaryota; Viridiplantae; Streptophyta; Magnoliopsida; Fabales; Fabaceae
Description: MIR2617 microRNA precursor family
Rfam family: MIR2617 microRNA precursor family
Source: Rfam by way of RNAcentral